RNAcentral lists this small nucleolar RNA (131 nucleotides) under Drosophila ananassae. RNAcentral's name for it is "snoRNA:GF26152". The record is from RNAcentral. Lineage: Eukaryota; Metazoa; Arthropoda; Insecta; Diptera; Drosophilidae.
UUGGGGAGUAAAAGUGGCAUGCUUCGAGAACUCCUAUGAUUUAUGUCUCAAGUGCUCCAAGAGUAAUCCCAAAGACGGACGGCAUCCUGAAUAAUAAUCAUAUUAUAGCAGAUGACUUGUGUUCGUGUACA